UGGGCUUCCAGGGGAUGGGCGGGAAAGGAGACAGGUGUGUUUCUGAGGGAUGGGGCCGCUGAAGGGAAACCACCGCUUCCUGCUCUAGGGUCCUGGCUGGUUCAUGGGAAAAAGCCGAUUAAAAGCUGCCCCAGGGCUUGGGGGAGCUGGAAGCUGUUGCUGCAGCCUCUCUAAAUCUCUCCAGAAUUAUUGCAUGGUGAAGAGGAGCCUGGGCGGUGGAGGACUGGUGAGGGAGCAAGUGGUAGCUCUAAACUGUCCCUCCUAGCUGGGGGUCCUCCCCUUCCUUUUCAUACUUUAAAAUAUUUUUGGAGCUGUUUACUACUGGGUAACAAAAGGUUAGAUCGGUGACAGACGAGAAGGCAUUAGUAGUAGGACAGCUACGGAAAGCAUGCAGCAAAUGGAUGAGGAAGAACUUGGGGCUGCAGCAGUCAGUGGCAGGAGGAGAUCAAUGCUUCUGUGGUUCAUCAGCAAAAGCUGAAACGGCAACAAAAGGAUGUAGUUGCAACUACCAUCUCUUUGCAUUCAUUGCCAGCUCUGCUGUUGAUGCCGAUASUCAUUUUUGGGUUCUCCUCCUGAUGCUUGUGAGGGAAGAAACAAACUGCUGUAGCAUUUAAGAUAUAAGGCACAGGGGCACUGAUGUUGCUUGGAGAGAGCUCUG
This 658-nucleotide long non-coding RNA is filed under the name Apteryx rowi (Okarito brown kiwi). RNAcentral describes it as "lncRNA (ENSARWG00000009163.1)". Lineage: Eukaryota; Metazoa; Chordata; Aves; Apterygiformes; Apterygidae. The record is from RNAcentral.